This 2639-nucleotide long non-coding RNA is filed under the name Lynx pardinus (Iberian lynx). Lineage: Eukaryota; Metazoa; Chordata; Mammalia; Carnivora; Felidae. The record is from RNAcentral.
AUCUUUUGGAAAAUAAGAUGUUGAUGGGAGUCCAUCUACCAAACAGGAAGCAGGCUGUUAGAUCUUUUGUUAGAAUUGAUGAUGUUCUCAAAGAGCUUUUAGGUUUAAUUUAGAAACCUUGAUUGGGAAGUAUCUUCAAUGGCAGACUUAGGAAACAAAAUCCAGUAUUCUCCAGAAAACCUUUAAAUAAUUACUCCGAGGAAGAACUGCUGAAUUCAAAAUAGUUUUUCUCUUUUAAUUUUAUGUAUUUUACCUUGUAAGAAUAACAUGCGUAAAGAAAAAAUCUCGAGUAGAGACAUGGGGGGAAAUGCCCCUUCUAUCAGAGCCUCUCAUAACAUUUUAGUCUAUUUCCUCUGCUAUAGGAUUUUUUAAAAUACGUGUGAGUCUUUUAUUUUAAAUGAACAGGUAUUAAAUGGGUACAAAGAAGAGAAACCAAGAUUACCCAUGCAAACACCAAGAUUAAGACUUUAGUACAUUUCUUUCUAGUCUUUUACUCUGUAUAGAUUCCUUCUGGCACUAGUGAAUUUUAAAUCCAGUUCCACUAUACUGUACAACCAAACCAAAAGUUAACGUAUGGGAAGAAAAAAAUCACAGUAACACAACCAGUCCGGCUGGAUCAUUGGUAAUUAAUUGUAUGUUGUCUCUGAUAUCCUCCCAGCUACAUCCGAUACUCCCAGAUUUGUGCAAAGGCAGUGAGAGAUGCGCUGAAGACAGAAUUCAAAGCAAAUGCCGAGAAGACUUCUGGCAGCACCGUAAAAAUUGUGAAAGUGAAGAAGGAGUAAUCUGUAAGUUACUGAUUUAUUAGAAGACCUGCAUCUUAAGUUCUUAGAGCACUUGAAACAAAAGUAAUUUUAGUUUUUCAAUUCUGCCCAUUUUUCGUCCAACCAGUACAUUUACGUGUUAGUUCUUGGGGUAGUAAUUUAAAGCACAGAGGUGAUACAAGCGCCGCGGCAUCAUAAAAGAAUCUCGUUUCAGGCCCUGACAAGCAGAAGUAAUUGGCACAUUGAUUUUCAGCUCAUUUAGCAAUGCUUAGGUAGAGAGCCAUCUUAUUUUAAUUAAACCUGUUUCAUUUGUCUGCACAACAUCAAAUAAUUUGGAGGAUAAACUCCCCGCUUUUGUAAUUGCCGUCAGAGUUAUGUAACAGUUCAGGGGCAUGACAAAUUACAGUGCUCUGCGUCUUUAUUUCCCCCACGUCUGCCAGUGUUCUCACAAAGGACUGCUUCCUGAACAUCAGGGCUGCAAGUACAGGCCAGGGUCCUGCUAAGUUAUCGAGCAGCAGAAUCCAAGACCCUGCAGUGAAAACUGCUUUUGCUAAAUGUAUUAUUCUUUCUGAGUGCUUGGUUCGUUUUACUUUUCCAGAGAUGUCGGUCAUGUAGAGUUACAUCCUGUGCAGUAAAAGACAGUUUCGUACACUUGAUAAGUUCUGACUCUUCGCUCCAAACUGCUAAAGUGACGUGAUCUCUCAACCUUUUUCUUGACGUUGUUAUUUCAAAGAUAAGCAAGGCAAAUAACCAGAGAGCUGUUUUUCAGACUUAAUUUUCUUGUUUUGCUUUAAAAAGGGCUUCAGACCUGCAGUAGCAGAGAAAUGUGAUAAAUAUUCAUCCUUUGGCAGCUUGUGGUUAUGAGCAAUUUUACUUAUUGGAACUGUCUCCUCUAAGCACUUUUCAUUUUCAUUUUGAAUUAGUAAAUAUUUUAUCAUGAGUCUGGAGAUGCGGUGUUUUAGCCCUUCUUCUAAGCCCUUCUUCUAGGGGCUCUUCUGUCUCCCCUCAUAAUUCUAAGUAAUGAGACCUGGUCUUAUGUUGGGUUGUUUUGUCUUAAAAGUGACCUGGCUGCCAAAGUCACUGAGCCUCUGCAGCGUGGCCAAGCCACGCUGUGCAUCGCGCUCCCUUGACCUUGUGGUGUCCUUGGGGUCAGAAAGUAGUAUCCAGAUCCAGUAGAACAAAACAGCUCUCCCGAGGUCCUGCAGGGGAUGACCCCAGCCCAUCAGCACAGGGGGCUUUUAGUGUCUUUUGAAAGGCCGAGUAGUUUCUUUAUUGCUAGGAGAGAACUUGGUUCUACUUAGAAGGGAAGUUCCUGUGCAGCUGAGGCAGUGCACGUGAACCAGCACUUUCUACAGCCAAGAGCCAAGGGUCAGCAUUAGCCACGUGAAGUGACGCCAGAGUUAUCUUAGGUCAUGACAAGGAAGUCACUGCCACGGUCGUGCCGGACAGUUAAAACACAAAGAACUCGCAACUGUUGCAUUUUCUUUUUUCCUCCCAGACCCGCCCAGAGCUUGAAAUGCUGCAUUUUCAAGGUGAAGAUGUGUGGGUAUAUGCUAUGGCCGACUGGAAACCACCUCCCUUCGUCAAAAAACAAAACAAAAAAAACCCUGUCUUGUUCUAGAUGGACGAUGCCAAUAAAUUGAAGUAUGGUCCACUCCUGCUGUUGGUGUUUGUUUUCCUUCAGGCUUUUUCUUCAGAGGGACUCUGCGUACCUGCAGCAUAUGACCUCACGAGCCAGAGUCUCUUAAGUUGGGGCAAGCAGCUGUGGUAUCUAGUGAGCUGAGGGAUGCCGGAACCAUGUUUUAAAUGUCUCGGGAUAGAAAGUUCUCUUUUUUGUGAUGUCACUUAACAAAAGGAGCCUCUUGGUGAGGCUUUCAC